RNAcentral lists this ribosomal RNA (452 nucleotides) under uncultured Rhodococcus sp. RNAcentral describes it as "bacterial SSU rRNA". It matches the Rfam family "Bacterial small subunit ribosomal RNA", at positions 929 to 1382 of the family's 1533-position model. The record is from RNAcentral. Lineage: Bacteria; Bacillati; Actinomycetota; Actinomycetes; Mycobacteriales; Nocardiaceae.
GCGGCGGAGCAUGUGGAUUAAUUCGAUGCAACGCGAAGAACCUUACCUGGGUUUGACAUAUACCGGAAAGCUGCAGAGAUGUGGCCCCCCUUGUGGUCGGUAUACAGGUGGUGCAUGGCUGUCGUCAGCUCGUGUCGUGAGAUGUUGGGUUAAGUCCCGCAACGAGCGCAACCCUAUCUUAUGUUGCCAGCACGUUAUGGUGGGGACUCGUAAGAGACUGCCGGGGUCAACUCGGAGGAAGGUGGGGACGACGUCAAGUCAUCAUGCCCCUUAUGUCCAGGGCUUCACACAUGCUACAAUGGCCAGUACAGAGGGCUGCGAGACCGUGAGGUGGAGCGAAUCCCUUAAAGCUGGUCUCAGUUCGGAUCGGGGUCUGCAACUCGACCCCGUGAAGUCGGAGUCGCUAGUAAUCGCAGAUCAGCAACGCUGCGGUGAAUACGUUCCCGGGCCUU